GACGAACGCUGGCGGCGUGCUUAACACAUGCAAGUCGAACGGAGCGAAUGAAAGCUUGCUUUUAUAAGCUUAGUGGCAAACGGGUGAGUAACACGUAGACAACCUGCCGACAGGAUGGGGACAACAUUCCGAAAGGAAUGCUAAUACCGAAUGAAGUCGAGGGAAGGCAUCUUCCUUCGAUGAAAGAUGGCCUCUAUAUAUAAGCUAUCACCUGUUGAUGGGUCUGCGUCUGAUUAGCUGGUAGGUGAGGUAACGGCUCACCUAGGCGACGAUCAGUAGCCGGUCUGAGAGGAUGAACGGCCACAUUGGGACUGAGACACGGCCCAGACUCCUACGGGAGGCAGCAGUGGGGAAUCUUCCGCAAUGGGCGCAAGCCUGACGGAGCAACGCCGCGUGAGUGAAGAAGGUCUUCGGAUCGUAAAGCUCUGUUGAUGGGGACGAACGUGCCUAAUGCGAAUAGUUUUAGGUA
Molecule: ribosomal RNA, 469 nt
Filed under: Selenomonas sp. oral taxon 140
Lineage: Bacteria; Bacillati; Bacillota; Negativicutes; Selenomonadales; Selenomonadaceae
Description: bacterial SSU rRNA
Rfam family: Bacterial small subunit ribosomal RNA
Source: RNAcentral